This 231-nucleotide long non-coding RNA is filed under the name Vicia faba (fava bean). Lineage: Eukaryota; Viridiplantae; Streptophyta; Magnoliopsida; Fabales; Fabaceae. The record is from RNAcentral.
AUGCAUCGCAAUCGAAGAAAUUCAGAAACGCAAAAUAAUAUAGCGAGUGCACCAGACGAUUCUCCGGUUGGUAAGACUUGCAUCCUAUUUUGUUCUUCGUUUUGCACAUCUUAUUUUCCUGGCGUUGAAUCUGUUUUUACGAAACUGAAAACCUCGAUGAUUAGAAAUCGAAACUACGACACUGAGCGAAGGCGAAGUCGAAGAGCAUUGAGCGAGCAUCGAUUGAAUUGA